GCUUUCGUGGUGUAGUUGGUUAUCACAUCUGCCUAACACGCAGAAGGUCUUCGGUUCAAACCCGAACGAAAGCA
Molecule: transfer RNA, 74 nt
Filed under: Entomophthora muscae
Lineage: Eukaryota; Fungi; Entomophthoromycota; Entomophthoromycetes; Entomophthorales; Entomophthoraceae
Description: tRNA-Val
Rfam family: tRNA
About the family: Transfer RNA (tRNA) molecules are approximately 80 nucleotides in length. Their secondary structure includes four short double-helical elements and three loops (D, anti-codon, and T loops).
Source: RNAcentral